UACGUAGGUGGCAAGCGUUAUCCGGAAUUAUUGGGCGUAAAGCGUGCGCAGGCGGUUUCUUAAGUCUGAUGUGAAAGCCCACGGCUCAACCGUGGAGGGUCAUUGGAAACUGGGGAACUUGAGUGCAGAAGAGAAAAGCGGAAUUCCACGUGUAGCGGUGAAAUGCGUAGAGAUGUGGAGGAACACCAGUGGCGAAGGCGGCUUUUUGGUCUGUAACCGACGCUGAGGCGCGAAAGCGUGGGGAGCAAACAGG
This 253-nucleotide ribosomal RNA is filed under the name uncultured bacterium. RNAcentral's name for it is "partial 16S ribosomal RNA". It matches the Rfam family "Bacterial small subunit ribosomal RNA", at positions 524 to 776 of the family's 1533-position model. The record is from RNAcentral.